This 1636-nucleotide ribosomal RNA is filed under the name Candidatus Atribacteria bacterium. RNAcentral describes it as "bacterial SSU rRNA". It matches the Rfam family "Bacterial small subunit ribosomal RNA". The record is from RNAcentral. Lineage: Bacteria; Pseudomonadati; Atribacterota; Atribacteria.
AUUUAGUUGAGUUUGGUGAUAGCUCUGAUUGAACGCUGUUUAAGUGCUUGACACAUGCUAAUCGUACGGUUAAUACAAUUGAAAAAUUAAAUUAACAGUGGUGUAAGGGUGAGUAUAAGAUAUUUUUGCCUAUCUCAAAGCAAGGAAAAGAAAAUUCCUUAUAAUUCAAAUAAAGGUGGUAAAGAACCACUGCUUUGAGAGGAAGAUAAAUGUCACAGAAAAAGGUAGUUGUUAAGGUAAUGGCUCAACAAGCCGCGUAUUUUCUUAGUCGUAACUGAAAGGUUGAUCGAUCACAUUGGGUCUGAAAAAACCCCAAUGCAUAUAUGUACAGCAGUGAGGAAUUUUGGUCAAUGGCCUAGCGGCCGAACUGGCAACUUAGGAAAAUGACAAUUGGUUGUCAAAUGAAGUUUUGUCUAUAUAUUGAUAAUGACAAUAUAUAUAAAUAGUCUUGACUAAUUACGUGCCAGCAGUCGCGGUAAUACGUAAGAGACAAGUGUUAUUCAUCUUAAAUAGGUUUAAAGGGUACCUAGACGGCCAAAAUGACUUUAUAUAAGUAGUAUUUGGCUAGAGUUUGAUAUAAGAAGACAGUACUUUUAGGUGGAGAGUCGAAAUUCUGUGAUACUCUAAGGACUGGUAAAGGCGAAGGCAGUCUUCUAUGUAUAAACUGACGUUGAGGGACGAAGGCAUAGGUAACGAACAGGAUUAGGCACCCUAGUAGUCUUUGCAGAGAAUAAUGAAUGCCAUAGAUUAGGCUACGUGUAUAAUAUGAAAAGAACCUCUGGCUGCUCGCCGGAGUGAGUCUUUAUAAGUCGAUAUAUAUUAAAUUUUCUUUUUUUAAGAAACAUAUAAAGAUUUUUUUUUUAUUGGUUUUAAUUCUUAAAUUAUAAUAAAUUUAAUUUUUAAUUCUUUUUAUUUAAAAUAUAAAAAAAGUAAAGCAUAUAUUACCACGCUUGGUCCAUAAAUGAAAGUGUAAGCAUUUCACCUCAAGAGUAAAGUGGCAACACUGGAACUGAAAUCACUAGACCGUUUCUGACACCAGCAGUGAAGUAUGUUAUUUAAUUCGAUGAUCCACGAAAAACCUUACCACAAUUUGAAUACUUAAUAGUAAAUUAAGAUACAGGUGUUGCACGGCUGUUUUCAGUUAAUGUUGUGAAACUGUGGUUCUUCAUGUAAUUAACGUAAUCCUUACCUCUAUUUAUAAAAUAAAAAAAUAGAGCAUUUUUUCCGCAUACUGGAAAUAAUAAAGAGGACAAAGACAAGUCAUCAUGGCCCUGAUAUUGUGGGCUAUAGACGUGCCACAAUUCUCCUAAACAAAGAGAUGCGAAAAUGUGAAUUUAAGCUAAUCUCAAAAAAUAGGAUAGAAAAAGAAGGAUUGUAGUCUGAAAUUCGACUAUAUGAAUAAGUAAUUGCUAGUAAUCGUGAAUCACCAUGUCACGGUGAAUAUAACCUCGGAUUGGUACUAACCACUCGUCACAUGCUGAAAGGAGUACUGCGCAAUAAGUUUGCUUUUUUGCUAUAAAAAUAUGAUAAUUAUAAUUAGACCUUUAUAGUAAGAUUCACCGUAUGCGAGACUCCGAUUAGUGUUAAGUCGAAAUACGGUUCGUGUAGUGGAAGUUGCACGGGAUUGAUUAACCAU